CUGGAGAGAGGCAAGUUGCUUGCAUGGGACUGUAAGUUGUUCGGUCUGGAUGGAGGACAGAAUACACAAAGGACUGAGGAAAAAUGAAGGUGGUGAGACACAAGGACAAAUCAUCGAGGCCUCCUGAGCCACAUUAAGGUGUCUGAAAUUUAUCCUGGAGGACAGGUGAAAGAAAUUCCAGUGAGGUAGAAGGAGAAGAGGGACAUCUCAUCAACCUCAGCUGUCUCGGUUGCCUGUGCCUCCAAGAAAUCACCUGAAACUCAAGACAGGUUUGAAGAAAAACAGUGCUUACUGUCAGGAAAUAAUGAAGACUUAUAGAGAUCAGCCCUGAUCACUUAUUUGUUCAACAUAUUGAUAAUUCUCAUUGGAAACAGUUUCCCAUCAGUGCUCCAGAGUCUCAAAGGCCAGGGUGGAUGGCAGAUGUUGCACGUGAGCUGCGGAAUUCCGGCCACCCCAGAGAGCUCUUCCUGAAUUUCUAGCUGAUGUUUAACAUGAGAAUAAAACAUUAACAG
This is a long non-coding RNA of Mustela putorius furo (domestic ferret), 512 nucleotides long. The record is from Ensembl. Lineage: Eukaryota; Metazoa; Chordata; Mammalia; Carnivora; Mustelidae.